CACCAAGAAGCUACAUUAGCAUUAACCUUUUAAGUUAAAGACUGAGGAAUUAUGUCCUCCUUGGUGG
RNAcentral lists this transfer RNA (67 nucleotides) under Oreotragus oreotragus (klipspringer). RNAcentral describes it as "tRNA-Lys". The record is from RNAcentral. Lineage: Eukaryota; Metazoa; Chordata; Mammalia; Artiodactyla; Bovidae.